UUUCCGUAGGUGAACCUGCGGAAGGAUCAUUAAUAAAAGGAUACCUUCGGGUAUACCCUAUCCGUGUCUACAUACUCUUGUUGCUUUGGCAGGCCGUGGUCUCCCACUGUGGGCUAUGCCUGCAUGUGCCUGCCAGAGGACCAAACUCUGAAUUUUAGUGAUGUCUGAGUACUAUAUAAUAGUUAAAACUUUCAACAACGGAUCUCUUGGUUCUGACAUCGAUGAAGAACGCAGC
RNAcentral lists this unclassified non-coding RNA (235 nucleotides) under plant metagenome. RNAcentral describes it as "partial contains small subunit ribosomal RNA, internal transcribed spacer 1, and 5.8S ribosomal RNA". The stretch from base 187 to 235 matches the Rfam family "5.8S ribosomal RNA", at positions 1 to 49 of the family's 154-position model. The record is from RNAcentral.